RNA transcript from Grus americana (Whooping crane), 3870 nucleotides. It is a transcript of the gene named ISY1 splicing factor homolog, with no coding region annotated. Lineage: Eukaryota; Metazoa; Chordata; Aves; Gruiformes; Gruidae. The record is from RefSeq and is a predicted model, not a curated record. The transcript is spliced from 12 exons.
AUGGGGCGGGUGGCGCAGGCGCAUUAGGGGCCGGUUCCGGUUCCGGGGGAACGGCGCGUCUUCUUCCGGGUUCUCCCUGGUGGCGGCCUCCGGUGAGGCGGCGCGGGCCGGUCGGCGCCAUGGCUCGAAACGCGGAAAAGGCCAUGACGGCCUUGGCGAGAUUUCGUCAAGCUCAGCUUGAGGAAGGAAAAGUUAAGGAGCGAAGACCUUUCCUUGCGUCGGAGUGUAAUGAGUUGCCUAAAGCUGAGAAAUGGAGGCGACAGAUCAUUGGGGAAAUUUCCAAGAAAGUGGCACAGAUUCAAAAUGCUGGAUUAGGUGAAUUCAGAAUUCGGGACCUGAAUGAUGAAAUAAACAAACUUCUGAGGGAGAAAGGACACUGGGAAUUCAGAAUUAAGGAGCUAGGAGGUCCUGAUUAUGCUCGGAUUGGACCAAAAAUGUUAGAUCACGAAGGGAAAGAAGUUCCAGGAAAUAGAGGUUACAAGUAUUUUGGAGCUGCAAAGGAUUUACCAGGAGUUAGAGAACUUUUUGAAAAGGAGCCCCUCCCACCGCCUCGGAAAACUCGAGCUGAGCUUAUGAAAGCCAUUGAUGCAGAAUACUAUGGCUACAGGGAUGAAGAUGAUGGUAUUCUGGAGCCGCUGGAACAAGAACAUGAAAGGAAAGUUAUAGCAGAAGCAGUAGAAAAAUGGAAAAUGGAGAGAGAAGCGCGACUUGCAAGAGGUGAGGAGGAAGAGGAGGAGGAAGUAAAUAUCUAUGCUGUCAACGAUGAUGAGUCUGAUGAGGAAGGCGGCAGGGAAAAAGAAGGUGAAGAAGGCCAACAGAAAUUUAUUGCACACGUUCCGGUGCCAUCUCAACAAGAGAUUGAGGAAGCUCUUGUACGGAGAAAGAAGAUGGAGCUUCUUCAGAAGUAUGCCAGCGAAACCCUCAUGGCACAGAGUGAAGAAGCAAAAACACUUUUAGGAUUGUAACAUUGCCCCAGUAUGUCCUGGUUUUCAUAUGAUCCAUCUUAAAACAACAGGUUCAUAAAUUCUGGUAGCAGUCACUUUUAGCUCUGAAAGUCCCUCUGGGUGUUAAGAGUAGACUGAUGAAGUUACAGGGUAUUCUGUAGAAGGAAAACCAUCGUUUUGGUUUAUCCACUGAGGUGGCUUGCACUUCAGUGCUGAAAAAGAUCAAACCUGUGUUAACUUGUCUCUACAUCUUUGGCACCUGUCUUCAAUCCUUUCAUUUUGUAAAACAGUUUGUGCAGUGGUGCCUCUUACAGAUAGAACUGCAAACCCAGGGACUCCUUAAAUCCUGAAGGAAUGCUGACUGAUGGAAGUACUGCCAUUCUGCCUGCUGUAUCCUGACUCUCAAAGGAUUGUGUUGUUUCCCUGAUCGUAGCCCAAGAAUGGGAACGUAAACAGCCAUCCGCGUAGGGGUUUGAAGCUGUGCAUCCCCUGCUGCUCUUAGCUUGUGCAUCCUGUGACAAGAGGCGGAUUACAGCAGAGCCUGUUCAGAGUCUUACAGGUGACUAACACUGUUACACAGGUGUGAAUGAAUGAAAUCUCAAACUAGACGUCUGCAGCCGUGGAGUAGUGUUGUCUAAGGAAACAACCAAGUAACCAUGUCUGGGGCUGGUUAGAGUUUCUGGAUGCUCUUAGUAUUCAGCUGUGUCGAUUGUAAAUAAUCCAAUCCAGAAUACAAAGCUCUAAAUUAGAGAGGCAUGCUUUGUCUUACUUGAUGUAAAUGAUUAAGCAAAAAACGCCUUGAAAAAGUGGGAAGCAUAGCUGUGAAAUUCAAAUCCUAAAAUGAAAAUAAAUCAAAAACUCAAGUAUUGAUAGCAAGCAGACAACUAACAUUACAAACACGUUCUUCUGUCUUCCUGUUAGCAGCAUGGCUUUCUCUGCUUUCUAAUAGAGCAGCAAACGAGUAUGUUUGACUCAUAAUAAUUUGUGUGCUCUGCCUUGCAAGCACCUGUCCAAAGUUGGUUUUAGUUUUUGCUGCUGCCCCUUGAGUGUUUUCUGGUUUUGGAUUUGGGGAAGGUGAUGUGCUUUUAUCCACACGCUGUUUGUAUUGCUGUAAAAGACAACACUGUUUCCCAGAGUUCCUUCCCUGAAACCCCUGGCCAGAGAAUGAAAAAAAUGGCCUCAUUCCAUGUUGGAUGUGCUCACAGGUUUGUGGUCUAGCAGUACUGCAUCAGACUAGUGCACUUCACCUAUGCAAAAGAUUAAUAUGUGAAGGAUAAAGGCCUUCUUGCCUGGUUCUAAGCCACUAACUGAGUUCCUGGAGCUUAAUAAAUUGGCAUGCAAGUCCUUAUCCUGCUUCAGGAGUGUUGGUGACCAAACCAUAGCAUGACCAGGGCAUGGUGGGAUGUGGCACCAACAAAAAAACCUAGAGCAGCCAAAUGGGCUUGCCAAAAAGAUGUUUAGAGUUAAAGCUCUGUUGUCAACAGCCUCUUGCCAACUGUGUGUCUGCUAGACUGUAUGCUUUUUGUUUGCUCAACAAAACAAACUUCUAUGGAAGAGCAGUGCUCGGAAGAAGAAUGCCAGUCUUGCUGUAGAUUUGCUAAACUAUGUGCUGGAGAUGACCAUGCUAGAUUUGGCGGGGGGGAACCCACCUAGUUUUUAUGGCCUGGUACAGUCUGGGAGUUUCACAAUAGCGAUGGUUGAUCCCUUCUGUCACUAUAUGACUCCAUAACGUAGAAGACAGAAAACAGAAGGGUAAAGACAGAUGGGGGCAGAGUGAUAGUUACAGAAGGCAUCAAAAAAGAAUAAACAGAAAGAAUGAGAGAAAAUCGAGACAGGAUAGUUACUGCAUUCGUGUUCAAAGGAGCAGCUACCAGCCCUGAGCAAGACCAAUGUAACGAGGUCAAUAGAGAAGUCUUUAAGGCAGUGUUGAUCUCUGCUGACCAGCACAGAAAUGGAAAAAAUGGACAAAAACGCAGUAUGGAGCUGUGCAAUGCAAACUGUGGUUGUUGCUUGAACCCGCUUGUACUCAAUACUCGCUCUGUAACUCUGAGCACUAAGCAUUUUUAAGCUGGAUGCUCUUUUUGGCUGCAUCUGAGCCAACAAAUUGCGGAGUGAUUGUUUGCCAGCAGCAGCCUAUAGCAAAGUGCCUCUGUUCUGCUUGCUGCACAGGCUCUUAAAUUGCUGGUGGAGCUGGGGCUAGGAAGGUUCGGUAGCCACAGCCAGGGAUCUGGUGAUGUAGCUUGUCCUGGAGAAUGAAACGGCGCACAGGCUCCACAUUAACUCACACUUUGAGUGCGCAGCUUAGAUGUGUGUGUGUUGGGCUUAUAAUCUGUGUAAUGCCUCAGCCUUGAACACAUCUAGGUUAUAAAAUAAACAUAACUUUAUACAUGCUAACAUAUAGCUUGUUAUCUCGUCUGCCUUAGAGUUCUGUGCUGUGCGUGGUCCUGGCUUGAGGGGAUAACCUCCCUGUUCUGUUCUCUGCAUCAGCUUUGGCUUGCUUUUGUGUUUUAGAAAUGCAUUUGGUGCUGUGUGAUUUAAUGCCAGCCAUGUAAGUGGUGCAGAUUGAAAGACACCUGCCUUAAUCUUUGUGUCGGUGAGUGCAGUGUAAUCACUGGAACAUCGGUUUCUCCUGGAGUCUGAGAGAGGGUGGUGCGGAGUAUUUGUUGGGAGUUCUAGGAAAUAAGUGGAUUUACCUAAUCUGAAUGAGCAGAUGAGCAAGAUGAACAGAGACAGCUUUGCAGAGGAUCCAUUAACUAAUGAUAUUUUGUGCUUGUUUUCUCACUCUCAAGUCUAGUCGCUGGGAAAUGCCUUUGCAAUACAGAUCCCACAUCUAAGAUGCCCCGGUGUUUGCGUAUAUGCAUGAUGUGCUUUUUUUCUGAAAACCAUUGAUUACUGACAAACCAGAAAGAAUGUCUGGUUUGUUAAU